AUGGAUGAGAAAUGGUUCAAUCUAACACAGGAGGAGAAUGGCUACUUGCUGCUUCCCGAAGAACCUGAUCCCUUACGCACCUUGCAUCAUAAGGAUAGCAUCGCGAAGGUGAUGUUUCUUGCGGCCGUGGCUAAACCAAGAUAUGGCAAUGAUGGUGUCGUCACAUUUGAUGGAAAGAUAGGAAUUUGGGCCUUUGUCACAGAGUCUCCGGCUCAAAGAAGGAGUGAAAAUAGAGAAAGAGGGACACUUGAACUCAAAUCUUUGAAAGUUACAAGAGAUGUAAUG
Molecule: ribosomal RNA, 285 nt
Filed under: Triticum aestivum (bread wheat)
Lineage: Eukaryota; Viridiplantae; Streptophyta; Magnoliopsida; Poales; Poaceae
Description: partial small subunit ribosomal RNA
Source: RNAcentral